GAGGGGCCCGCGUCCGAUUAGCUAGUUGGUGAGGUAACGGCUCACCAAGGCAACGAUCGGUAGCCGGCCUGAGAGGGCGGACGGCCACACUGGGACUGAGACACGGCCCAGACUCCUACGGGAGGCAGCAGUGGGGAAUUGUUCGCAAUGGGCGCAAGCCUGACGACGCAACGCCGCGUGGAGGAUGAAGAUCUUCGGGUCGUAAACUCCUUUCGAUCGAGACGAAUUCCCCUGGGGUGAACAAUCCCGGGGGUUGACGGUACCGAGAGAAGAAGCCCCGGCUAACUCCGUGCCAGCAGCCGCGGUAAUACGGGGGGGGCAAGCGUUGUUCGGAAUUACUGGGCGUAAAGGGCUCGUAGGCGGCCAACUAAGUCGGACGUGAAAUCCCUCGGCUUAACCGGGGAACUGCGUCCGAUACUGGAUGGCUUGAGUUUGGGAGAGGGAUGCGGAAUUCCAGGUGUAGCGGUGAAAUGCGUAGAUAUCUGGAGGAACACCGGUGGCGAAGGCGGCAUCCUGGACCAACACUGACGCUGAGGAGCGAAAGCCAGGGGAGCAAACGGGAUUAGAUACCCCGGUAGUCCUGGCCCUAAACGAUGAAUGCUUGGUGU
Molecule: ribosomal RNA, 608 nt
Filed under: uncultured soil bacterium
Lineage: Bacteria
Description: bacterial SSU rRNA
Rfam family: Bacterial small subunit ribosomal RNA
Source: RNAcentral